CGAACAUGCAACACGACUAGUAUGCUCUCGAGCUCGGUAAUGCGCACAUCAUGGACGAGAGUGGGCGCGCAAGGCACAGGCACAGGCAUAGGCACAGGCACGGGCACAGGCACAGGCGAGCGACCCUCGCCACGACCCAGUCGGCGGGCGGGCGCACGGAACAGGUUGCCUUGCGGCAGGGUGGGAUGGAUGUGGUGUCGUCGUCAUCGUCUUCAUCGCCUUCAUCGUCUUCGAUUGUGGACUGACAACAGAGGAAGUGAUAGAUAUCGUAGCAUGUGAAUCCCAAAGUGCGUGCCCCUGAUUGGGCCAAGGCCCAAGGCCCUCAGGUCUCUGCCAUUAGCUACUCGACAUGUUUACUUACCAGAGACAGACUGCUUCAAGCAUUCACCUUUGGCCAAGCCGCUGCCAAAGUGCCAAACGUCUCUGUAUAACGGCGGCGCUGUAUAACGCUUCGACCUCCCUCGUGUAUGUGGAAGCAUUACAAGUGACCCGUCAGCGUGGACUUUGCUACCCGGCACCUCAGCCCCGGCCCCCGCCCCCUUCACUUCUGGCCCGAAGAAGACAGUUCAUUUUCAGGAUGCUUUAAGGACACGGACUGCUUGCAUUUCGUACAGGGCAUCAAAGAGGACGUCGUCGACAGCCCGCAAGGGAUACAGUUGUUAACGUAUACAAGGGGGAGGCGUCGACUAUGGCGAGGACGAAAACACAAACAUGGCAACCGAGCACCGAGCACCGAGCACCGAGCACCGGGAAGGGUCCGCCUCUGCCUGCUCUCGGCUGCAGUUGAAGGAAUGGAAUGGAAACGAAACGAAAGGAAAGGAGCACUUUAUGUGCAUAUAAUAUCUGAAUGUUCGCCGCACCAUCCUCAGCCACACACACACACGUACGAUCCACCCAGCCAGACAGACACAUGUAUACGUAGGACACAGUGUCAUCCAAGUUGCGGGGAAUUGUUAAUAUUGUCUGUGCGCCUGUAAGCAGCAUUUACAUGCUGGCCGACACCACGUACCACGUCCUGGCUGAUAGAAGAGCUCAUGUGUGGCUGGUGCCCUCUCUGACGGAACGGAAGGGCUCUGCUAGCCGCUCGGCUUUAAAUGCUGUACGAGUAUCAACUUAUGAAGCUGGCCGCCGCUUUCAUUAGAUCCAGAGGAUGAACCUAGUUCAGAACUUGUCUGGAUUGAAAACUGACACGCCAUCAAUAAAAUAAUGUUCUCGGAUCGAUAUGAGCAUCUGGAACAGAAGACGGAUGGAUGGAUGGAUGGAUGGAUCGAAAAU
Long non-coding RNA from Drosophila pseudoobscura, 1275 nucleotides. RefSeq lists it as uncharacterized. NCBI's taxonomy places the organism in Eukaryota, Metazoa, Arthropoda, Insecta, Diptera, Drosophilidae. The transcript is spliced from 6 exons. The record is from RefSeq and is a predicted model, not a curated record.